Molecule: unclassified non-coding RNA, 231 nt
Filed under: fungal sp.
Lineage: Eukaryota; Fungi
Description: partial internal transcribed spacer region
Rfam family: Eukaryotic small subunit ribosomal RNA (bases 1-47)
Source: RNAcentral
AAAGUCGUAACAAGGUUUCCGUAGGUGAACCUGCGGAAGGAUCAUUACUGUACCCACAGGGGUGGGCUUUCGGGCCUGCCUCCUGUCUACCACCCAUGCUUUUUGCGUACCCACUGUUUCCUCGGCAGGCUUGCCUGCCAGUAGGACCCUUUUUUGAACCUUUUGCAGUUGCAGUCAGCGUCAGAAACAACGUAAUCGUUACAACUUUCAACAACGGAUCUCUUGGUUCUG